AAGCAUAUCAAUAAGCGGAACGUGAAACUAACAAGGAUUCCCCUAGUAACGGCGAGUGAAGUGGGAAAAGCUCAACUUUGAAAUCUGGCACCUUCGGUGUCCGAAUUGUAGUCUCAAGAAGUGUUUUCUGUGCUAGUCCAUGUAUGAGUCUGUUGGAACACAGCGUCAUAGAGGGUGACAACCCCGUUCAUGACAUGGAUACUAGUGCUCUGUGAUACACUCUCGAAGAGUCGAGUUGACGUAAUGCAGCUCAAAUUGGGUGGUAAAUUCCAUCUAAAGCUAAAUAUUGGCGAGAGACCGAUAGCAAACAAGUACCGUGAGGGAAAGAUGAAAAGCACUUUGGAAAGAGAGUUAACAGUACGUGAAAUUGUUGAAAGGGAAACGAUUGAAGUCAGACGUGCGUGAUGCGGUUCAGCUCUGGUUCGCCAGGGUGUAUUCCGUAUCUUUGCAGGCCAACAUCGGGUUAGUCGGAUAAAGAUUAGUUGAAUGUGGCAUCUUCGGGUGUGUUAUAGCUUCUAAUUGAAUACGAUUGAUGAGACCGAGGAACGCAGCGCGCCGCAAGGCAAAGGUUCCGACCCGCGCUUAGGAUGUUGGUGAAAUGGCUUUAAACGACCCGU
This 617-nucleotide ribosomal RNA is filed under the name Cystobasidium minutum. RNAcentral describes it as "partial large subunit ribosomal RNA". It matches the Rfam family "Eukaryotic large subunit ribosomal RNA", at positions 36 to 652 of the family's 3401-position model. The record is from RNAcentral. Lineage: Eukaryota; Fungi; Basidiomycota; Cystobasidiomycetes; Cystobasidiales; Cystobasidiaceae.